ACAAGCGGUGGAUGAUGUGGUUAAUUCGAUGCAACGCGAAAACCUUUACCCACCUUUGACAUGGCAGGAAUCCUGAAGAGAUUUGGGAGUGCUCGCAAGAGAACCGGAACACAGGUGCUGCAUGGCUGUCGUCAGCUCGUGUCGUGAGAUGUUGGGUUAAGUCCCGCAACGAGCGCAACCCUUGUCAUUAGUUGCCAUCAUUUGGUUGGGCACUCUAAUGAGACUGCCGGUGACAAACCGGAGGAAGGUGGGGAUGACGUCAAGUCCUCAUGGCCCUUAUGGGUAGGGCUUCACACGUCAUACAAUGGUCGGUACAGAGGGUUGCCAACCCGCGAGGGGGAGCUAAUCCCACAAAGCCGAAUCGUAGUCCGGAUCGCAGUCUGCAACUCGACUGCGUGAAGUCGGAAUCGCUAGUAAUCGUGGAUCAGCAUGUCACGGUGAAUACGUUCCCGGGUCUU
Molecule: ribosomal RNA, 458 nt
Filed under: uncultured Rhodocyclaceae bacterium
Lineage: Bacteria; Pseudomonadati; Pseudomonadota; Betaproteobacteria; Rhodocyclales; Rhodocyclaceae
Description: bacterial SSU rRNA
Rfam family: Bacterial small subunit ribosomal RNA
Source: RNAcentral